Non-coding RNA from Phrynosoma platyrhinos (Desert horned lizard), 72 nucleotides. The record is from the annotation of a GenBank genome assembly. Lineage: Eukaryota; Metazoa; Chordata; Lepidosauria; Squamata; Phrynosomatidae.
GCCAGCAUGGCAUAGUGGUUUGAGUGUUGGACUACAACUCAGGAGACUAGAGUUCAAAUCCCAACUCAGCCA